Molecule: ribosomal RNA, 756 nt
Filed under: Nadsonia fulvescens var. elongata
Lineage: Eukaryota; Fungi; Ascomycota; Dipodascomycetes; Dipodascales
Description: partial 26S ribosomal RNA
Source: RNAcentral
UAAUGCGCGGUCCUCAGUCCAAACUGGCAACAUCAACAAGGGCUAUAACACUUCCCGAAGAAAGCCACAUUCCAAUGUCAUUAUCUUACCGUUCAAACUGAUGCUGGCCCAGUAAAAAGCGAGAGCACAACCCCGAGAGGAAAUGAUCGCUUAAUACCAAGUCUGACCUCAUGCCCUUCCCUUUCAACAAUUUCACGUACUUUUUCACUCUCUUUUCAAAGUUCUUUUCAUCUUUCCAUCACUGUACUUGUUCGCUAUCGGUCUCUCGCCAAUAUUUAGCUUUAGAUGGAAUUUACCACCCACUUAGAGCUGCAUUCCCAAACAACUCGACUCUUCGAUAGCAUCUUACAUGGAUAUAGGCACCUCAGCACACGGGAUUCUCACCCUCUGUGACGUCCUGUUCCAAGGAACAUAGCCGAAGACUAUAUCCAAGAUUACCAUCUUCAAAUUACAACUCGAACGCCAAAGACGCUAGAUUUCAAAUUUGAGCUUUUACCGCUUCACUCGCCGUUACUAAGGUAAUCCCUGUUGGUUUCUUUUCCUCCGCUUAUUGAUAUGCUUAAGUUCAGCGGGUAAUCCUACCUGAUCCGAGGUCAAACUUUAGAGAGUUCUAAAGCCAGGCUUUAUUUUUAAACUUACUGUAGCCAACGAGUUGGUAAAACCUAAUACGUUGUAAGAAAAGCUCAAAUAGCCUUGCCAAUGCUUUUCGAAUCAUAUGUAUUGCUACAUAAUAAAUUCAACACCAAACCAGAGGGU